GAUGAACGCUAGCGGCAGGCCUAACACAUGCAAGUCGAGGGGUAGCAGGAUUAAGCUUGCUUAAUUGCUGACGACCGGCGCACGGGUGCGUAACGCGUAUGCAACCUACCUUAUACUGGGGUAUAGCCCGGAGAAAUUCGGAUUAAUCCCCCAUAGUACUAAUGAAUCGCAUGGUUUAUUAGUUAAAGCAUUGCGGUAUAAGAUGGGCAUGCGUCCUAUUAGCUAGAUGGUGAGGUAACGGCUCACCAUGGCUACGAUAGGUAGGGGGCCGCAGGUGGUGGUCCCCCACACUGGUACUGAGACACGGACCAGACUCCUACGGGAGGCAGCAGUGAGGAAUAUUGGUCAAUGGGCGCAAGCCUGAACCAGCCAUGCCGCGUGCAGGAAGAAUGCCCUAUGGGUUGUAAACUGCUUUUAUUUGGGAAUAAACCUCUUUACGUGUAGAGAGCUGAAGGUACCAAAUGAAUAAGCACCGGCUAACUCCGUGCCAGCAGCCGCGGUAA
Molecule: ribosomal RNA, 503 nt
Filed under: uncultured bacterium
Lineage: Bacteria
Description: partial 16S ribosomal RNA
Rfam family: Bacterial small subunit ribosomal RNA
Source: RNAcentral